CAGUCGAACGGUAGCACAGGAGAGCUUGCUCUUUGGGUGACGAGUGGCGGACGGGUGAGUAAUGUCUGGGAAACUGCCCGAUGGAGGGGGAUAACUACUGGAAACGGUAGCUAAUACCGCAUAACGUCUACGGACCAAAGUGGGGGACCUUCGGGCCUCACACCAUCGGAUGUGCCCAGAUGGGAUUAGCUUGUUGGUGAGGUAAUGGCUCACCAAGGCGACGAUCCCUAGCUGGUCUGAGAGGAUGACCAGCCACACUGGAACUGAGACACGGUCCAGACUCCUACGGGAGGCAGCAGUGGGGAAUAUUGCACAAUGGGCGCAAGCCUGAUGCAGCCAUGCCGCGUGUAUGAAGAAGGCCUUCGGGUUGUAAAGUACUUUCAGCGGGGAGGAAGGGAGUGAGGUUAAUAACCUCGCUCAUUGACGUUACCCGCAGAAGAAGCACCGGCUAACUCCGUGCCAGCAGCCGCGGUAAUACGGAGGGUGCAAGCGUUAAUCGGAAUUACUGGGCGUAAAGCGCACGCAGGCGGUCUGUCAAGUCGGAUGUGAAAUCCCCGGGCUCAACCCGGGAACUGCAUUCGAAACUGGCAGGCUAGAGUCUUGUAGAGGGGGGUAGAAUUCCAGGUGUAGCGGUGAAAUGCGUAGAGAUCUGGAGGAAUACCGGUGGCGAAGGCGGCCCCCUGGACAAAGACUGACGCUCAGGUGCGAAAGCGUGGGGAGCAAACAGGA
Molecule: ribosomal RNA, 729 nt
Filed under: bacterium 63-L049660-122-017-G08
Lineage: Bacteria
Description: bacterial SSU rRNA
Rfam family: Bacterial small subunit ribosomal RNA
Source: RNAcentral